AUUUUGCUUGAGGUUCCUGUGUAUCUGAGGUCUUCCAAAGUGCAUCGGGACAGCCUUCAGACAGCUUUGGAAGACUCCAGUCUCAAAGGGAAGAGAGAAAAAAACCAACAGGUUAAGUGGUGCCUGGAAUUAUUCCUGUUGGACUGUAAACUUGUCAGCACAGCACUGCCAGCCCAGAGCCACACACACAUUGCAGGAGUGAUGUGAAGAGGGGCAGAAGGAUACAAAGCAGAAGGCUCAGAGGUUGGAGCCGAAGGCUGGAGGUGGACAUCCAGAUCCAGUUUGACUUGAGAGGAGCCCUGUCACCAAGGUGAUCGUGCAGCUGGUUUUCCAAUGUUUCUAAUUCUCACAAUUGAAGCCAGCAGCCCUAUUUGUCUCUUCUGCUGAAGGAAAGCUAAACAUGCAAAUCGGGCAGGCGGCUGAGGAUCGUAAAAGGACGAGCAGGGUGCAAUAUACACAGGGAGGAAAACAAAGAGAGAUGAGUCCUGACAGCAGAGAAAUUAUACCUGGCUUCAUGUGAGGGCACAGACCUGGCCCUGGCUGCCCCAAGAUCACUGCACACUGCCAGCCAAGCUGUUCUCAUGCUUAAUUUACAGCCUGCAAGGUUCAUGCACCACCUAAUGAAAAAUCGCGAUGGGAACUUUGCAGGAGAAAGUAGGACAGUUGGCACAUUAUUCACAUUUCAGCAGAGGAGGGGAGAGCUCCUUUUGCCUCGAGAACUGACCUCAUGGUGGUUUGACCUGCACAGAGGGCUGUCAUCGGGGCUUUAUGAUCAUUCCAAUUUGGAUUGUAACGUUAUGCUGAAAGUAACACUGGACUCUAUUAUCUUGCUUUGCCCUUUCCAUAAUUCAACGCCAUGUUUGCAGCAUAGCAGCAGUUCGAGGAGUUUGAGAAGUUUUGGUGGAGGUAGUCCAGCCUCGAUGCUGAGCAUUGCUCAGCAGCAUCGUUCACUCUGGAUACAUCUCACGUGUGGGAAAAACAAUAAGAAUUACCUCAAGAUUACUCAUGUCCUCAAUUAGAAAUUGUUUUUCUCCUGUGACUUGUGUUGUUGGUAGCUGAAAUGGCUGUUCACACUACAAGUGGCCUUUUAUUCACCUGCCUUCAAGCACCCAGAGGCACCAACCAACUCCUUCCCUCCUUCCAUGAGGUUCUCUCUCUCUCUGUGGCUGAUAUUACCAAACUGAUAUCUUUAUUCUCACUGAUUUCAGGUGAAGCUUCUUUCUCCCCGUGAGUACCCAUCAGUCACUUCUCCAUUCAAGAGGCAGAACAUUGCUACCCAGACCUGCAUCUAAAAAGUACGAUUUUCUUGACAACACCAGUUGUUUCUCGCAGUCCACGUUCAGAAGGUCCCAUGGACAGAAUUACACUUUAUCCACUUGAACUUUCAUAGUUUCCAGAAGUUCAUACGAUCUUUUCCAAACUCCCCAUGUUACACAAUUUCCUUGUUCUUUGGAGCAACCUCUCAGGCAGAAGGGUAUUACUAUAUCUAUAGCUGUAGUCCCAGGUAAUUGAAUUCUCCUCUUCCUCUACAAUUUGGCUCUGAAUCACGUUCUUUUUAAAUAAUAAAGUAAAAU
Molecule: long non-coding RNA, 1574 nt
Organism: Gallus gallus (chicken)
Lineage: Eukaryota; Metazoa; Chordata; Aves; Galliformes; Phasianidae
Source: Ensembl